Molecule: small RNA, 87 nt
Rfam family: BsrC
About the family: The 301 nucleotide sequence from Kouji Nakamura has been trimmed to a highly conserved ~85 nucleotide long core to form this family.
Source: Rfam
UAAAACCUAAACGACGUAUGCCCUACCUCUCAUACAUCCUUACGACUCCUUAGUCGAUCCAGUGUGAUUAAGUUCUUAAUGAUUUCA